CCUACGGGAGGCAGCAGUGGGGAAUAUUGGGCAAUGGGCGCAAGCCUGACCCAGCACUGCCGCGUGAAGGAAGAAGGAUUUCGGGUUGUAAACUUCUUUGACAGGGGAAGAGCAGAAGACGGUACCCUGAAAACAAGCCACGGCUAACUACGUGCCAGCAGCCGCGGUAAUACGUAGGUGGCAAGCGUUGUCCGGAUUUACUGGGUGUAAAGGGCGUGUAGCCGGGAAGGCAAGUCAGAUGUGAAAUCUGGAGGCUCAACCUCCAAAUUGCAUUUGAAACUGUUUUUCUUGAGUACUGGAGAGGCAGACGGAAUUCCUUGUGUAGCGGUGAAAUGCGUAGAUAUAAGGAGGAACACCAGUGGCGAAGGCGGUCUGCUGGACAGCAACUGACGGUGAGGCGCGAAAGCGUGGGGAGCAAACAGGAUUAGAUACCCUAGUAGUC
This 442-nucleotide ribosomal RNA is filed under the name uncultured bacterium. Its description in RNAcentral is "partial 16S ribosomal RNA". It matches the Rfam family "Bacterial small subunit ribosomal RNA", at positions 338 to 795 of the family's 1533-position model. The record is from RNAcentral.